Molecule: ribosomal RNA, 1945 nt
Filed under: Ulva rigida
Lineage: Eukaryota; Viridiplantae; Chlorophyta; Ulvophyceae; Ulvales; Ulvaceae
Also listed under: 1 other name
Description: large subunit ribosomal RNA
Rfam family: Bacterial large subunit ribosomal RNA
Source: RNAcentral
GCUUUCCAUCAACCAGUAAGACAGUGGGGGAUAAGCUUCAUUGUCAAAAGGGAAACAGCCCAGAUCACCAGUUAAGGCCCCAAAGUGAUGGCUAAGUGAUAAAGGAAGUAAAAAGGCAAAGACAACCAGAAGGUUUGCUUAGAAGCAGCCAUCCUUGAAAGAGUGCGUAAUAGCUCACUGGUAGAGCCUUUUUGCGCCGAAAAUGAACGGGGCUAAGUCAUCCGCCGAAACUGUGGGUUACAGUUUUAACUGUUACGGUAGAGGAGCGUUCCGUUAUAGGGUGAAGUUAAAAUGUGAAUUUUAAUGGACGAAACGGAAGUGAGAAUGUCGGCUUGAGUAACGAAAACAUUGGUGAGAAUCCAAUGCCCCGAAAACCUAAGGGUUCCUUCACAAGGUUCGUCCAUGGAGGGUUAGUCAGGACCUAAGGCGAGAUCGAAAGGUGUAGUCGAUGGAAAACAGGUUAAUAUUCCUGUACUUGAUUUAAUUUGAUAAAGAGGGACGGAGAAGGCGGUAACUAGCUAGAUAUUGGUAUUCUAGUAGAAGUAUUGAAUUCUUAAAAGAAUGAAAAAAAACUUUCUUUAGAAAACAUGCGAUCUAACUGGUACUCUAUUUACAUAGAGUUUUGGUUUAGUUUUAGUCAUACUUCCAAGAAAAGCUUUUAUUAUCGUUAAAUUAAAUCAACCUGUACCCUAAACUGACACAAGUAGGUAGGUAGAGAAUACUAAGGGGCGCGAGAUAACUCUCUCUAAGGAACUCGGCAAAAUGGCCCCGUAACUUCGGGAGAAGGGGUGCCUACAUAAUGUAGGCCGCAGUGACCAGGCCCAGGCGACUGUUUAUCAAAAACACAGGUCUCCGCAAAGUCGUAAGACAAUGUAUGGGGGCUGACGUCUGCCCAGUGCCGGAAGGUAAAAGAAGUUGGUUAUUCCUCGGAAAAAGCUGACGACUGAAGCCCCGGUGAACGGCGGCUGUAACUCUGACAGUCCUAAGGUAGCGAAAUUCCUUGUCGAGUAAGUUUCGACCCGCACGAAAGACGUAACGAUCUGGGCACUGUCUCGGAGAGAGACUCGGUGAAAUAGAAAUGUCUGUGAAGAUGCGGACUACUUAUACCAGGACAGAAAGACCCUAUGAAGCUUGACUGUAAUUUGGAAUUGGGUUCGGGCUUUUUUUGCGCAGUCUAGGUGGGAGGCGUUGAUAUUAAGUUUUCGGACUUAAUGGAGCCACCAGUGAGAGACCACUCUAAAAGAGCUAGAAUUCUAAUAGGACUCCUUGAAUCAGGAUCCUUGACAGUUUCAGAUGGACAGUUUGACUGGGGCGGUGACCUCCCAAAAGGUAACGGAGGUGUGCAAAGGUUCCCUCAAGCUGGACGGAAAUCAGCUGUAGAGUGCAAAGGUAUAAGGGAGCUUGACUGCAAGACCAACAAGUCGAGCAGAGGCGAAAGCCGGCCUUAGUGAUCCGACGGUUCCGAGUGGAAGGGCCGUCGCUCAACGGAUAAAAGUUACUCUAGGGAUAACAGGCUGAUCUCCCCCAAGAGUUCACAUCGACGGGGAGGUUUGGCACCUCGAUGUCGUUUCAUCGCAACCUGGGGCUGGAGUAGGUCCCAAGGGUUGGGCUGUUCGCCCAUAAAAGCGGUACGUGAGAUGGGUUCAGAACGUCGCGAGACAGUUCGGUCCAUAUCCGGUAUAAGCGUAAGAGCAUUGAGAGGAUCUCAACAUUGUACGAGAGGACCCGAAGGGACGUACCGAUGGUGUACCAGUUCUUAUGCCAAUAGGAAACGCUGGGUAGCUAUGUACGGAGUGGAUAAUCGCUGAAAGCAUUUAAGUGAGAAGCCCACCUCAAGAUGAAUGCUCUCUAUCAGAUCGCGGCAAGACAAGCCGAUAGAUUGGCAUCAAGUGUAAGAUUAGUAAUAAUUUCAGCUGAGAUGUACAAAGGAUCGAUUGAUUUUGAC